RNAcentral lists this non-coding RNA (29 nucleotides) under Mus musculus (house mouse). Lineage: Eukaryota; Metazoa; Chordata; Mammalia; Rodentia; Muridae. The record is from RNAcentral.
GUCCUAUGAUGCAGGCCUUACUAGGUGCA